RNAcentral lists this small nuclear RNA (19 nucleotides) under Arabidopsis thaliana (thale cress). Its description in RNAcentral is "snRNA_10883". The record is from RNAcentral. Lineage: Eukaryota; Viridiplantae; Streptophyta; Magnoliopsida; Brassicales; Brassicaceae.
GGAAGCCGGGUUACGGUGC